This 255-nucleotide ribosomal RNA is filed under the name uncultured prokaryote. RNAcentral describes it as "partial 16S ribosomal RNA". It matches the Rfam family "Bacterial small subunit ribosomal RNA", at positions 524 to 777 of the family's 1533-position model. The record is from RNAcentral.
UACGGAGGAUGCGAGCGUUAUCCGGAUUUAUUGGGUUUAAAGGGUGCGUAGGCGGCCGAGUAAGUCAGCGGUGAAAUUUUGCAGCUUAACUGUAACAGUGCCGUUGAUACUGCAUGGCUAGGAUUUGGUUGCUGUGGGUGGAAUGUGUGGUGUAGCGGUGAAAUGCUUAGAUAUCACACAGAAUAUCGAUUGCGAAGGCAGCUCACAAAGCCAAGAUUGACGCUGAGGCACGAAAGCGUGGGGAGGCGAACGGGA